UUAAACGAACAAAAGUUUGUCUUAAAAUGCAAUUUUUAUUCCUACGGUAAAAAAAGGUUUACCAUAUUUUCAACUCUGUUCUGUUUUUGAUUUAGUCAAAAUUCAGAUGACGGACAUAAGUUACGUGAGACUAUCUUAAUUGUUGAACAUUACAAGAUUUAUUAUUCAGCUCUUUCUGUUUCCAUGAUGAUCAAUAACGAUAAUUAAAAAAGGGUUGAGGGGGUCUCUUAUAACAACAGGGCGUUACGGAUUUUGUGUAAUGCCUUAGAUUAUAUGUUUGUUCAAAUUUUACUACACUUACAACUUUAUUGUUUGAUUAACCCAUAACAAGGUGCUCCUAUGGUAGAAUAAUUUUUGAGAUACUACCUAUUUCAUCAUAUCAACUGUUGAUAACGUCUAUCAUAAGUUGGCUCUUAAAUGUAUCUUUGAAUAAAAUAAGUGUUAAAUAACCUAACGAAAAUAUGUGGUGUUAGUUAAAAGUGCAAACCUUUACUAAACAAUAACUUUAAAAUCAGAAUUGUAUUUUUCUUUAUAUCGAGCAAGUACCGAAUGUGGAAAUCUAGCAAAACAAUUACACAAAUUACUACCCCCAUAAACUAUGUCAUAACUCAUUAUUACGAGCUACAAUAACCACAGAUUCAAGCGUAAAAUUUCCAAUGCAUCAUCGCCACCAGCAUCAUGCACACAUUAAACCUGACACGAGUAACAAAAAGAAAAACAAAACAUAUCCGUUCUAAAUUCAAAUCAACGAGUUAAAAAAUAAUAAUAAAAAAAAGAACAAACGAAUAAACCAAAUCAUUACAAAAAUUCCAGUUUCUAGUCCAGAGCUGAGCUCAACCCAGAAAGGGAAGUCGCAAAAGAGGUGAACAUUAUUUGAUAAAUUGCUGCAACAGCAGCCGCCUGCAGCUACAGCAAAUAUUGUGAAAAUAUUGUCUUAAAACAAACAAAAAAUAAGGAAAAUAACUCUGAAGGUGAGGUCUGAGGUAAGACAUGAACUACUGAUUAUGCUUUCCAAAUCGAAGCAUCAAUAUUGAGCUUAACUUUCUCUCCCGACAUCGAAGCAAUCCACGGAAGGUAAAGACAACGACGAAGUAAGGAACACCCAUCUUAGUCAUUCAAUUGGGAAACUUCCUCCCUACCUACCUACAUAGCUACUCUUUCGCGUCUUUCGACAGCGAUUUAUUACGCAAUGAAUGUUACUGCUGGAACUUGCAAGUCUCUAUAGAAUGACCAGAGCCAAAUGAGAGAGAAACUUACUUCGAAUCGUGGUUCUGCAUUAUGUUUUGCAAAUCUGUCAGAGUGCAUAAAGCAAAUCCCCUCGUGCGGGGUCGUCUCAAGAUUUUGCACACUUUUUUUAUGAAGUGUGAUAUGAUAGUAACUCAGGAAGAUUUAAUUUAUUUAUUUUUGUUCUGAAAAUAAGUCUUAAAAAUCUUUUUGGGUUUGGUAUCAAACUUGGAUGGAAGAUAUUGACCCUUCUUCGAUGAUGUGAAAUGGAAACUAUUUUUAAACUUAAGGAAACACAACAUUUUUGUAUCCAUAGACUUACCACUGAGGUUUGGCACAAGGCCGUUGGGACCUUUUUUUCAGCAAUCUUGAAGCCUUUUCUGUUUUAUCUCUGGGCCACAGGUGAACUUUAAAAUUAAAUUCUCUUUUCUUUCUUUAUCUCUUCCCACCACACCGCACCGCACCGGCAAUGUAAUUGAGUCAACCUUUUGAAGUACGAAAAAUAAAAUGGCACAAGUUGGAGCGAUCAAAACA
Molecule: long non-coding RNA, 1758 nt
Organism: Eupeodes corollae
Lineage: Eukaryota; Metazoa; Arthropoda; Insecta; Diptera; Syrphidae
Exons: 2
Source: RefSeq, a predicted model, not a curated record